AACGAACGCUGGCGGCAGGCUUAACACAUGCAAGUCGAACGCACCUUUCGGGGUGAGUGGCAGACGGGUGAGUAACGCGUGGGAAUCUACCCUUCUCUACGGGAUAGCUCCGGGAAACUGGAAUUAAUACCGUAUACGUCCUGAGGGAGAAAGAUUUAUCGGGGAAGGAUGAGCCCGCGUUGGAUUAGCUAGUUGGUGGGGUAAAGGCCUACCAAGGCGACGAUCCAUAGCUGGUCUAAGAGGAUGAUCAGCCACAUUGGGACUGAGACACGGCCCAAACUCCUACGGGAGGCAGCAGUGGGGAAUAUUGGACAAUGGGCGCAAGCCUGAUCCAGCCAUGCCGCGUGAGUGAUGAAGGCCCUAGGGUUGUAAAGCUCUUUCAGUGGGGACGAUAAUGACGGCACCCACAGAAGAAGCCCCGGCUAACUUCGUGCCAGCCGCCGCAGUAA
This 449-nucleotide ribosomal RNA is filed under the name uncultured bacterium. RNAcentral describes it as "partial 16S ribosomal RNA". It matches the Rfam family "Bacterial small subunit ribosomal RNA", at positions 29 to 523 of the family's 1533-position model. The record is from RNAcentral.